GGGGACGUAGUGAAGUGGUUUAACACGUCUGCCUGUCACGCAGAAGAUCGCGGGUUCAAAUCCCGUCGUCCCCGCCA
Molecule: transfer RNA, 77 nt
Filed under: Deltaproteobacteria bacterium
Lineage: Bacteria; Pseudomonadati; Myxococcota; Myxococcia
Description: tRNA-Asp
Rfam family: tRNA
About the family: Transfer RNA (tRNA) molecules are approximately 80 nucleotides in length.
Source: RNAcentral